UAAUACAUGCAAGUCGAGCGCAGGAAGCCGUCUGAACCCUUCGGGGGGACGACGGUGGAAUGAGCGGCGGACGGGUGAGUAACACGUAAAGAACCUGCCCAUAGGUCUGGGAUAACCACGAGAAAUCGGGGCUAAUACCGGAUGUGUCAUCGGACCGCAUGGUCCGCUGAUGAAAGGCGCUCCGGCGUCGCCCAUGGAUGGCUUUGCGGUGCAUUAGCUAGUUGGUGGGGUAACGGCCCACCAAGGCGACGAUGCAUAGCCGACCUGAGAGGGUGAUCGGCCACACUGGGACUGAGACACGGCCCAGACUCCUACGGGAGGCAGCAGUAGGGAAUCUUCCACAAUGGACGAAAGUCUGAUGGA
Molecule: ribosomal RNA, 363 nt
Filed under: Exiguobacterium profundum
Lineage: Bacteria; Bacillati; Bacillota; Bacilli; Caryophanales
Description: bacterial SSU rRNA
Rfam family: Bacterial small subunit ribosomal RNA
Source: RNAcentral